This is a long non-coding RNA of Gossypium arboreum, 548 nucleotides long. RefSeq lists it as uncharacterized. The record is from RefSeq and is a predicted model, not a curated record. The transcript is spliced from 3 exons. Lineage: Eukaryota; Viridiplantae; Streptophyta; Magnoliopsida; Malvales; Malvaceae.
UCUGAAGUGGGUAGUGUAAGUACUGUUCUUAUGACAUAUCCAAUGUCGAUUUCUAUUCUUUUAUUUUUUGUAGUGGCUGAAUAAUGCUAGUGUAAUGGCCGAAUUGCACAUGAUGAUUUUUUAUAUGUAAUUUUGUUUGAAGGACCGAAUAUGAACGUAUCAGAUCAAUAGUAGCAUUGAAGGACAACUCACAUCUCUUUUUUAAUACUUGGAAGAAUCUGGUUAACUGUUAUCUACAUUGAGGCCGUAGGAGUUGUGUAUUUGCGUUAGUGCAUCGAAUUUACGAAAAUCAGGUAACCCCAAGGUUAGGAUCGGACUCGACAAUAUGGAGGUCUGUCUUGAAUUUUUGGUUUAAUAUUAUAAUUUUUAUCAUUAUUCAGGAUUGUAAUAAUUUUUAUACAGAUUGUGGCAUGGGUUCAAUAUUCUGGGUUAUUUUGGUAUUUUGUAUGCAUUAUCGUUAAAACUAGUUAAGUUAAAUAACUGGAUGGUGUUUAUAAGCAUAUAAAAUUAUUUUUUAAAAUAAUAAUAAAUUAAGGUCUUCGUAUUUU